UUUUCAAACAGAAAAAGAAAAAAAAAAAACAAGAAAAGCAAAUAAAAAAAAAAAAAUUGUAUGUUUUGAUCGUUUUUUUCAAUAUUGACCACUCUAAUAGACUCUCAUCUUUUUUCUUUUUUUUUCAAUAUUAUUUUCUUUCAACUUGCAUAUCGAUAUUCAAUAGGAGAAGG
This 173-nucleotide non-coding RNA is filed under the name Pteridomonas danica. The record is from RNAcentral. Lineage: Eukaryota; Dictyochophyceae; Pedinellales.